CCCCCGUCCUGAAUGAAGGAGAGAGAACACCCCUCCCCCAUUACUAGGUCAAAUAAUGAUCUGCUACUGACAUAUCCUCCCCCAUUACUAGGUCAAAUAAUGAUCUGCUACUGACAUAUCCUCCCCCAUUACUAGGUCAAAUAAUGAUCUGCUACUGACAUAUCCUCCCCCAUUACUAGAUCAAAUAAUGAUCUGCUACUGACAUAUCUUGCCCCAUUACUAGGUCAAAUAAUGAUCUGCUACUGACAUAUCUUCCCCCAUUACUAGAUCAAAUAAUGAUCUGCUACUGACAUAUCUUCCCCCAUUACUAGGUCAAAUAAUGAUCUGCUACUGACAUAUCUUCCCCCAUUACUAGGUCAAAUAAUGAUCUGCUACUGACAUAUCUUCCCCCAUUACUAGGUCAAAUAAUGCUAGUUAUCCACCGCACUUUGUAUUGAGUCAGAUUAUUGAUUAGAUCAGUUAAGACCCAUCAUCUCUAACUGAAACGGAUGGUAAAGACCGGUUGAACACUAAACAAUCUUUAAUCCAUUUCAGACACUAUGAAUACUGGUUGAUUGUAAACCUUUUCAUUCCAGGUAGGUUAAUAUCCUGGUACAUUGGUUGAUAAUACUGUAUGGUAGACUUCCCAGUGGACUAGCUGGUUGGGAUGCAUUUGGAAGGAUUUAUUGUUCAUAGCUAAAUGUUUCCCUGCUUCACCUUAAUGCUUUUCCAUUUGACUAUUUAUUGUAGUUUUUUUCCUUUUGUGAUGUUUGUAAAUCACUGCCCAAAACGCCCUGCGAGUAUAUCAACUAUUACAUAGAGAUAUUCUUUGUUGUUUUCUUUCAUUAUUGGGGGACAUAUUGUUUGUUUUUACCUUCAAGCAUCUAUCUACCUCACUCUUCAUGAUCUGUUAGUGUUACUGACAUGACAAUACAUCUCACAUUUUCUCAUGAA
Coregonus clupeaformis (lake whitefish) is the source of this 933-nucleotide long non-coding RNA. RefSeq lists it as uncharacterized. The record is from RefSeq and is a predicted model, not a curated record. Lineage: Eukaryota; Metazoa; Chordata; Actinopteri; Salmoniformes; Salmonidae. The transcript has 2 exons.